Molecule: long non-coding RNA, 1850 nt
Filed under: Citrus maxima (pomelo)
Lineage: Eukaryota; Viridiplantae; Streptophyta; Magnoliopsida; Sapindales; Rutaceae
Description: long non-coding RNA (CMAX_LNC000689)
Source: RNAcentral
CUAAUUGUACGUAAUUAGUCAAAGGCUAUUGCUAUAAUGGUGUCAUGGUGAGCUUUAAGCCCCAUCACCAUGCCGCGUUUUAACUCUUAACUGUUGAUUCAAGUAAAAUGUAUCAAAUGGUUGAGAUUGAAUAUAAAAGAAAAAAUAGAAAAAUAUGGGUAAAUUGAAAAGCCGGUUGCUUUAUCUUCCUCAAAUUCCUAAUUUUUUCUCUUCUGCUAAAUCAUCUCUCUCUGCAAUCCCUAAUUUCUCUCUUAGAUUUGCUCACUAAUCACAUAAAACCAAAGCCACCAUCUCGCUCACAGCAAACAUCUAGUUGAAUCCAUCAACCAGUUACUAUCCAUCAACACAUCUUCCUCUCAUUCUCUUUCAUUUUCGAGUUAACGACAAGGUAAAAAAUGUUAUCUUAACUUUUAUGCUUUUAAUGGUGACUACUGAAACCUCUGUUUGUACUCCCUCAUUCGACAUGUAUCAUUUAUGCAUUAUAUUAAAAUUUUUAUGCUGUGUAAAAAAAUUAGGGACUUAUGAAUUUUGAGUGAAAAAAGAUGCUUAGAUAAUGAAAACUUGAUGGUCAAUAGAUGAUUAAUAGUUUGGAAGCAUGAAAUUAACAAGAAAAGCAUAAGAAAAUGUCGGAUUGUAGUGAGAGAGAGGUAUGGGUUUUGAGAUUUAGAGAGAGAAGAUGAAGAAUGAGUCAAACCGGCUAGCUACCUACUUGAAGCGACCAACUGCCACGUUAUGGUAUGUUUCUACCUUCUAAGCAGUUAGAUGCUUGGACCAAGCAGGUAGCCACUUGUUUUUGGCAGAAUGUCUACCUCUCAAGCGGCUGGCUGCUUCGACCAAGUAGCUAGUUGCUUGUUUAGCUACUCCAAGUAAGGCGUCUAUCUGUUUCCCUUGAAUUCCGAACAAUAUUACAAUAAUACUUGUUUUAUUUCAAGAAUCUGACAUAAAUGAUUAUUGUAAGCUUAUGUGCUAUGAAAUUGAGUUUCGUUUAACAGCUUGAGGUGUAGUUUGCAUAUGGUAGCAAUUUAGAUUUGUUGUUGCAUACUUGUUCAUUAGAAUCGUAGUCGAAUAGCAAACAGAUCUGCAAGUAUUCACAAAAAAUGUGUAUAUGUUGUUUUGGUACAUGUAAAUUUUCGUACUUAAUCUAGUACUUCACCUAAAGAAUCAGUCUCCCCAAUUUUAAAUUUUUAAUUGUUGGUAGUGUUUUGUUUUAGAUUUUCAUGGAUUGUUUGUUUUAUUUUUUGAAUUGAUUAAGCAUCAGAUUACUGUAUUACACAGAGAUAUAUACAACUGUUAUGACAGCAUGUCGUUACACUGAUAUUUACAAUCAGAUAUAUACAUGAGACUUAUAUUAUUAUAUUUUUAUUCUAUGAAGUACAUGCACAUCCAAAUACCCCUCACGGAGAAGGGAUGUCUCUACUCCACUCGCAUUUCGCAAGGGAGAAAGACUUUAUAAGAAGUCUCUACACAAUUAUGUUUAAUUGAGGGAGGUUGAGUCCGUGGGGACUCAAACCACUGCCCUCAUAGUCAUGCUUAACUUUGAGGGCAAUGGUUUACCACUGGGCUACAAGCCCAAGUGACAGAUUUUCAUGGAUUGUUAAAAUCAUUUCAAUAGGUAGUUAGUUUAUUAUCUUGGACUAAAUUUUAUUUGAUUAAUAUUGGACUGAAUUUUGUGGAUAAUUUUUUACUGUCUCUACUGUUAUUUGCUGUUUUUUUUUUUUACUUUUCUAUGCUGUUAUUGAUUAAAUUGAUAAUUUUAUCAAUGUGUUGCAUAUUAAAGGAUUUUAACAAUAUAAUCCAAUUAUAACAUGGACAUACAGAUGCUACAACUGCAAGACUUGGUCAAAGAUCAU